UACGAGGGGGGCAAGCGUUGUUCGGAAUUAUUGGGCGUAAAGGGCGCGUAGGCGGUGCGGUAAGUCACCUGUGAAAACUCUGGGCUCAACUCAGAGCCUGCAGGCGAAACUGCCGUGCUUGAGUGUGGGAGAGGUGCGUGGAAUUCCUGGUGUAGCGGUGAAAUGCGUAGAUAUCAGGAGGAACACCUGUGGCGAAAGCGGCGCACUGGACCACAACUGACGCUGAGGCGCGAAAGCUAGGGGAGCAAACAGG
RNAcentral lists this ribosomal RNA (253 nucleotides) under uncultured bacterium. Its description in RNAcentral is "partial 16S ribosomal RNA". It matches the Rfam family "Bacterial small subunit ribosomal RNA", at positions 524 to 776 of the family's 1533-position model. The record is from RNAcentral.